AGCGUAGGCGGACUGUUAAGUCAGAGGUGAAAGCCCAGGGCUCAACCUUGGAAUUGCCUUUGAUACUGGCAGUCUUGAGUAUGGGAGAGGUGAGUGGAACUCCGAGUGUAGAGGUGAAAUUCGUAGAUAUUCGGAAGAACACCAGUGGCGAAGGCGACUCACUGGCCCAUUACUGACGCUGAGGCUCGAAAGCGUGGGAGCAAACA
RNAcentral lists this ribosomal RNA (206 nucleotides) under uncultured bacterium. RNAcentral describes it as "partial 16S ribosomal RNA". It matches the Rfam family "Bacterial small subunit ribosomal RNA", at positions 568 to 774 of the family's 1533-position model. The record is from RNAcentral.